RNAcentral lists this ribosomal RNA (2327 nucleotides) under uncultured Paeniclostridium sp. Its description in RNAcentral is "partial contains 16S ribosomal RNA, 16S-23S ribosomal RNA intergenic spacer, and 23S ribosomal RNA". The stretch from base 1 to 1477 matches the Rfam family "Bacterial small subunit ribosomal RNA". The record is from RNAcentral. Lineage: Bacteria; Bacillati; Bacillota; Clostridia; Peptostreptococcales; Peptostreptococcaceae.
GAUGAACGCUGGCGGCGUGCCUAACACAUGCAAGUCGAGCGAUUUACUUCGGUAAAGAGCGGCGGACGGGUGAGUAACGCGUGGGUAACCUGCCCUAUACACACGGAUAACGUACCGAAAGGUAUGCUAAUACGAGAUAACAUAAGAGAUUCGCAUGGAUUUCUUAUCAAAGCUUUUGCGGUAUAGGAUGGACCCGCGUCUGAUUAGCUAGUUGGUAAGGUAACGGCUUACCAAGGCGACGAUCAGUAGCCGACCUGAGAGGGUGAUCGGCCACAUUGGAACUGAGACACGGUCCAAACUCCUACGGGAGGCAGCAGUGGGGAAUAUUGCACAAUGGGCGAAAGCCUGAUGCAGCAACGCCGCGUGAGCGAUGAAGGCCUUCGGGUCGUAAAGCUCUGUCCUCAAGGAAGAUAAUGACGGUACUUGAGGAGGAAGCCCCGGCUAACUACGUGCCAGCAGCCGCGGUAAUACGUAGGGGGCUAGCGUUAUCCGGAAUUACUGGGCGUAAAGGGUGCGUAGGUGGUUUCUUAAGUCAGGGGUGAAAGGCUACGGCUCAACCGUAGUAAGCCUUUGAAACUGAGAAACUUGAGUGCAGGAGAGGAGAGUAGAAUUCCUAGUGUAGCGGUGAAAUGCGUAGAUAUUAGGAGGAAUACCAGUUGCGAAGGCGGCUCUCUGGACUGUAACUGACACUGAGGCACGAAAGCGUGGGGAGCAAACAGGAUUAGAUACCCUGGUAGUCCACGCCGUAAACGAUGAGUACUAGCUGUCGGAGGUUACCCCCUUCGGUGGCGCAGCUAACGCAUUAAGUACUCCGCCUGGGAAGUACGCUCGCAAGAGUGAAACUCAAAGGAAUUGACGGGGACCCGCACAAGUAGCGGAGCAUGUGGUUUAAUUCGAAGCAACGCGAAGAACCUUACCUAAGCUUGACAUCCUUUUGACCUCUCCCUAAUCGGAGAUUUCCCUUCGGGGACAGAAGUGACAGGUGGUGCAUGGUUGUCGUCAGCUCGUGUCGUGAGAUGUUGGGUUAAGUCCCGCAACGAGCGCAACCCUUGCCUUUAGUUGCCAGUAUUAAGUUGGGCACUCUAGAGGGACUGCCAGGGAUAACCUGGAGGAAGGUGGGGAUGACGUCAAAUCAUCAUGCCCCUUAUGCUUAGGGCUACACACGUGCUACAAUGGGUGGUACAGAGGGCAGCCAAGUCGUGAGGCGGAGCUAAUCCCUUAAAGCCAUUCUCAGUUCGGAUUGUAGGCUGAAACUCGCCUACAUGAAGCUGGAGUUACUAGUAAUCGCAGAUCAGAAUGCUGCGGUGAAUGCGUUCCCGGGUCUUGUACACACCGCCCGUCACACCAUGGGAGUUGGGGGCGCCCGAAGCCGGUUAGCUAACCUUUUAGGAAGCGGCCGUCGAAGGUGAAACCAAUAACUGGGGUGAAGUCGUAACAAGGUAGCCGUAUCGGAAGGUGCGGCUGGAUCACCUCCUUUCUAAGGAGAAUUGCCUACUGUUUAAUUUUGAGGGUUCUUAAAAUCCUUAAAAAACAUAUUGACAAAAAUCGACAAUGUUAUUAUAAUAUAACAUGUUGAAAAAAUAAUAUGGGGGUGUAGCUCAGCUGGGAGAGCACUUGCCUUGCACGCAAGGGGUCAGGAGUUCGAUCCUCCUCAUCUCCACCAUUAGUACUUAAAUGUACUGUUAGUACUUUGAAAACUGCAUAACAUUUAGUGAUAUGACAUCAUUUAAUUAUAUAUGGACAAGAAAAGUCAUUAAAAUUACAACUUUAAGCAAAGGGAUUUAUGUGAAUGAAUAUGAACAUAAAGACUUUCGCGAUAACUUUUAAUAACUGGUCAAGUUAUUAAGGGUGCAGGGCGGAUGCCUUGGCACUAGGAGCCGAUGAAGGACGUGAUAAGCUGCGAUAAGCUUCGGGGAGUUGCACGUAAACUUUGAUCCGAAGAUUUCCGAAUGAGGAAACUCACUUAGAGUAAUGUCUAAGUAUCGUUAAGUGAAUACAUAGCUUAGCGAGGGGAACCCGGGGAACUGAAACAUCUAAGUACCUGGAGGAAGAGAAAGAAAAAUCGAUUCCGUAAGUAGCGGCGAGCGAACGCGGAACAGGCCAAACCAAUGAAGUUUACUUCGUUGGGGUUGCGGACAUAUUAUAAAGGUCGAGGUCAUCGUAAAUGAAGAGAGUUGGAAAGCUCCGCUAUAAAGGGUAAUAGCCCCGUAGUUGAAACGAUAAUUCGAUAGAUAUGAUCCAGAGUACCACGGGACACGUGAAACCCUGUGGGAAGCAGGAGGGACCAUCCUCCAAGCCUAAAUACUACCUAGUGACCGAUAGCGCAU